Equus caballus (horse) is the source of this 2885-nucleotide long non-coding RNA. RefSeq lists it as uncharacterized. NCBI's taxonomy places the organism in Eukaryota, Metazoa, Chordata, Mammalia, Perissodactyla, Equidae. The record is from RefSeq and is a predicted model, not a curated record.
GAAGCUUAGAGAAGUUAAGUAAUGUGUCCUAAGGUCACACAGCUACAAAGCAGCAGUACCAGAAUUUGAACUCAGGCUCUCUAACUCCAGACCCCCAGUUCUUUACAACUGUAUGGCAGAUAACUUAUGUUUUCCUUAGAACUUACAGUGAGGCACAAAACUGGCUGAAAUGGAGGAAUCAGCAAUCUCUGCCAAGGUUAUGUAGUUGUUCUUUUGGAGUAGAAGUUCUAAUUUUGGCUUACUGAAGACAUAGGGUAUAAUUCCUCAUCUUGAUCUAAUUAAUAUCCAGGGACCAGAAAUUCAAGUCAUCUUUGAUAUAAGAAACUUAUCAAACAGUGCCAUCCAAUGAGGAUAUUUUCUUGUCUACUUUCAAAAUUGAGUUGGGAGUUUCAGUUAUUAUUUAAAAUUUUUUUCACAAAUAUAGUUUUUUUUCAUAGAACACAGAUGCUCUUAACUCCCUAGCAGUCACCAUCUGUACCUCAAUUUACAUUUCCCAAAACACUGCUGACAUCUGUUUAAAUGCCAAUCUCUCCCCAACUUAGUAGGAUUUUAGCUCAAAAGUGAUAUCCUUUGAAUGAUUUGAAAUUUCAAAGUUAAAGUGAUUUUAAUCAAAAUGCUCAAUGGCUACAGGUAUCCAGGCUGUAUCUGUCCCUUUGAGAAGGUUUCCACAAAAUGGAGGCUAAUAUUAAUAGUGAUCUGUCAUUUCCAGGGGAAUGUGGGACCAUUUUGCCAGGUUAGACUUUUCAUCAAUGGGAAAAGGAAGGGAGAGGUUCUGAGUUGUCAGGGAGAGAAUUCUGGGUGAUUAGGAGUUCUCCCAAAGAAUCAUUGCCCUAGAUUCCUUUCUGUAGGUUGAUGCUCCUUUUAUACAGAGAUGUCUGACUUUCUUCAGCAAAUCAUUAUGUGAGAGGAGGCAUAGAACAUACGUCUGGGGAUAGACUCAGCGUGGAAAUGGGGCUGAAGGCUGGUUGAACAGUGGGACUGAGAGAGAAGCAUGAGUUGUGGGAAACUGAUUUUUUUUUUUAAAGAACAUAUAGAAAUUAUGCCCCUAAAUGAGUGAUGCUCCUUCCUAAUGGGCACCUGGGGAAACUAUAAACUUAAUCUAAUGGUUCCAUAAUUAUUCAAAACAUUCAAGUAGUUACUUUGAAGUCAAGGGCACAUUUGUUUUGGAAAUUCUCAAUGAUGUUAAAUCUUUAUUUGAGAGAAAAUUCGAUUUUUGGACAAAUCCAAAAGUCAUCUGGAAUGUAGUUUUGUUAUAAAGUGGGUUUUGGGGGGCAAUUUUUCCUAAGUGGUUCACAAAGGGAUUCCAAGAAGGCAGUUUCAUAAGAUGAUUUUAGAGAAAUCGUAAACAAUGGAAGCAUCAGGAGACUAGGUAUGUAAUCCCUUGAGAAGAAUUCUUCAUUUGGAAGUAUAAAUUUGGUCUUGUUUGUGUUUUGGAAUCAGACAGAUCUGGGCUUUGGAUCUGACUUCAUAUAUAUUUCAAGAUAUGUGACCUGAGUUACUUAACCAUGUUAAGCCUCAGUUAGUUUUGUCUCCUGUGAAAUAGAGAUAAUUAUAGUAUCUACCUCCUGGCCUUGUGGGGAUUAAAGAGGGCAAUGUAUGUAAAGUGCUUUGCCCAGCACCUGGCAUAUAAUAUAGAAGGCACUCAAUAAAGUGGUUGAUAUAUGGAUUCUAAUCUCCUAGGAUGCAGUGUGAUGUAUCAGAAGGACUUGGAGCCAUGUUCUACCACUUAUUUGGCUAUAAUGGUCCUAAGAAAGCCAUUAAUUUGUAGGGUCCUACUUCCUUCUUUGCAAAGUUUAGCCCUUGGGAAGGCAUUUUACCACCAAUAAAUCCCUACCUUUGUAAAACCCUAACAACACAGAGGUUUUAGAGAGUAUAAGGAGAGAGAAGGAACGGUUUAAAUCAACCUCUCGAGAGACUGAGGAAUGAACGGUGGAGACCAGCUGUGAGAGAGAUGGUUCUAACAUGGAAAAAUGAAUCAAAGUCUUGAAUACAUCAUCCAAGGUGAGGAAACCUGCAGGGGUUGAACAGGAGUCUGGGGAAGCAGGAGCCCCCUUUUUUUCCUGUCUACACAACGUGCAGAGAAUAUCCGUGAUUAAAAUUCUUAACACGAUUUCAAAGCAUCACCUUCCUAGGUAGAUGAUACACAAGGGCAGGCACAGAGAUUGCGGGAAGAUCUGACUUGAGUGGCUCGUUUGUGAGAGCUCAAGUAACCCUCCGUAAUGAAUUUGCUAUUUACUGAUACAGCAGUGCCUUCGUUUGGCAUUAAUGGGCAGGGCCAAUGGAUAGUCAUAGUUAUUUAAAUUCAAGCUUUGGUACCAGGCCACUAGAAUUGCUGCAGAAGGAAAGUGAUAUGCAAUUUCAAAGGUACUUACUGCCAUACCAUCUAGUAGCUGAAAAACAGAAAGAAGACAUGAAAAAUAGGAUGAAACUACAAAUGCUAAAUAAUGAUGAUAAUGAUGAUGCUACUAAUAAUACACUUUAUUUGGAAGGCAUAGUGAAGGGAGACUUCCUGAAAAGUAUUAGCCCACAAGGGGUGAACUUAAGCUGCAAGAUGGCCCAACGUGGCUCGCAAAUACUUCUACCAAUUUAUAUAAUUAUGGGAGGAAUUUCAUUGGGUGUAAUUUUUAACUAAGCUUCAACCUUCACCCUACCCUCAUUCCAAAACUCCCUCUUUAGUUAUUUCUGGAGCCCUCAGGCCAGGCGGUGUCUCAUGCGUAAUCUAGAAUGAGCCACUUCAUGUUGUGGUGUCCUCGUCAAAGGACCUUGACAUUGCCUCUGUCCUGAUGGCCUCUAUAAGAAUGCUGCCCUGAAAUCAAAACUACAAUGAGAUAUCACCUUACACCUGUUAGAAUGGCUAUAAUCAGCAAGACGAAAAACAACAAAUA